ACUCUUUCUGUGCACAGGGUACACCACUACAAGGAAAGUGACUUCCCCAGGGUGAAACUAAUUCUGCAUACUCUUGGCAUGCUGAACCUUUGAUUUCACCAGAUACUGAAAACUCACUUGUAUCACUUGUGGCAGCAGGGGGUCUGCCUUUGCACUCCCCCCUG
Small nuclear RNA from Buteo japonicus, 164 nucleotides. Its record names the gene U1. It matches the Rfam family "U1 spliceosomal RNA". From Rfam's summary of the family: U1 is a small nuclear RNA (snRNA) component of the spliceosome (involved in pre-mRNA splicing). Its 5' end forms complementary base pairs with the 5' splice junction, thus defining the 5' donor site of an intron. There are significant differences in sequence and secondary structure between metazoan and yeast U1 snRNAs, the latter being much longer (568 nucleotides as compared to 164 nucleotides in human). The record is from Ensembl. Lineage: Eukaryota; Metazoa; Chordata; Aves; Accipitriformes; Accipitridae.